AGAGUUUGAUCCUGGCUCAGGAUGAACGCUAGCGGCAGGCUUAACACAUGCAAGUCGAGGGGCAGCGGGGAGGAAGCUUGCUUUCUCCGCCGGCGACCGGCGCACGGGUGAGUAACACGUAUGCAACCUGCCCCUGUCAGGGGGACAACCCACCGAAAGGCGGGCUAAACCCGCGUACAUGCCACCGGGGCAUCCCGGAGGCAGGAAAGGCUUCGGCCGGACAGGGAUGGGCAUGCGGCGCAUUAGGCAGUAGGCGGGGUAACGGCCCACCUAACCGACGAUGCGUAGGGGUUCUGAGAGGAAGGUCCCCCACACUGGUACUGAGACACGGACCAGACUCCUACGGGAGGCAGCAGUGAGGAAUAUUGGUCAAUGGUCGGGAGACUGAACCAGCCAAGCCGCGUGAGGGAGGAAGGUACAGAGUAUCGUAAACCUCUUUUGUCAGGGAACAAAGGCGGGGACGUGUCCCCGGAUGAGUGUACCUGAAGAAAAAGCAUCGGCUAACUCCGUGCCAGCAGCCGCGGUAAUACGGAGGAUGCGAGCGUUAUCCGGAUUUAUUGGGUUUAAAGGGUGCGCAGGCGGUCUGUUAAGUCAGCGGUCAAAGCCCGGGGCUCAACCCCGGCCCGCCGUUGAAACUGGCAGUCUCGAGUUGGAGAGAAGUAUGCGGAAUGCGCGGUGUAGCGGUGAAAUGCAUAGAUAUCGCGCAGAACUCCGAUUGCGAAGGCAGCAUGCCGGCUCCACACUGACGCUGAGGCACGAAAGCGUGGGUAUCGAACAGAAAUAGAUUACUCUGGUAGUCCCACGCAGUAAACGAGGAAUGCUGGCUGUCCGGGGGGAUUGACCCCUGGGUGGGGGAAAGCGAAAGCGAUAAGCAUUCCACCCUGGGGAGUACGCCGGCAACGGUGAAACUCAAAGGAAUUGACGGGGGCCCGCACAAGCGGAGGAACAUGUGGUUUAAUUCGAUGAUACGCGAGGAACCUUACCCGGGCUCAAACGGGGAGUGACUCAGGCAGAGACGCCUGUUUCCCACGGGACACUCCCCGAGGUGCUGCAUGGUUGUCGUCAGCUCGUGCCGUGAGGUGUCGGCUUAAGUGCCAUAACGAGCGCAACCCCCGCGUGCAGUUGCUAACAGAUAACGCUGAGGACUCUGCACGGACUGCCGGCGCAAGCCGCGAGGAAGGCGGGGAUGACGUCAAAUCAGCACGGCCCUUACGUCCGGGGCGACACACGUGUUACAAUGGGUGGUACAGCGGGAAGCCAGGCGGCGACGCCGAGCGGAACCCGAAAUCCACUCUCAGUUCGGAUCGGAGUCUGCAACCCGACUCCGUGAAGCUGGAUUCGCUAGUAAUCGCGCAUCAGCCAUGGCGCGGUGAAUACGUUCCCGGGCCUUGCACUCACCGCCCGUCA
Molecule: ribosomal RNA, 1407 nt
Filed under: uncultured bacterium
Lineage: Bacteria
Description: 16S ribosomal RNA
Rfam family: Bacterial small subunit ribosomal RNA
Source: RNAcentral